GAAGCCAGGGCGAACCAUGAAAUGAAGAGCACAAAGAAUAAAGACAAUUGAUUCAUAUGCACAGAAGGUCUGAA
Molecule: transfer RNA, 74 nt
Filed under: Candidozyma auris
Lineage: Eukaryota; Fungi; Ascomycota; Pichiomycetes; Serinales; Metschnikowiaceae
Description: [Candida] auris tRNA-Asn
Source: RNAcentral